GAUGAACGCUGGCGGCGUGCCUAAUACAUGCAAGUCGAGCGAACAGACGAGGAGCUUGCUCCUCUGACGUUAGCGGCGGACGGGUGAGUAACACGUGGAUAACCUACCUAUAAGACUGGGAUAACUUCGGGAAACCGGAGCUAAUACCGGAUAAUAUAUUGAACCGCAUGGUUCAAUAGUGAAAGACGGUUUUGCUGUCACUUAUAGAUGGAUCCGCGCCGCAUUAGCUAGUUGGUAAGGUAACGGCUUACCAAGGCAACGAUGCGUAGCCGACAUGAGAGGGUGAUCGGCCAUACUGGAACUGAGACACGGUCCAGACUCCUACGGGAGGCAGCAGUAGGGAAUCUUCCGCAAUGGGCGAAAGCCUGACGGAGCAACGCCGCGUGAGUGAUGAAGGUCUUCGGAUCGUAAAACUCUGUUAUUAGGGAAGAACAAAUGUGUAAGUAACUAUGCACGUCUUGACGGUACCUAAUCAGAAAGCCACGGCUAACUACGUG
Molecule: ribosomal RNA, 497 nt
Filed under: uncultured bacterium
Lineage: Bacteria
Description: partial 16S ribosomal RNA
Rfam family: Bacterial small subunit ribosomal RNA
Source: RNAcentral